UUAAGCGACUAAGCGUACACGGUGGAUGCCCUGGCAGUCAGAGGCGAUGAAGGACGUGCUAAUCUGCGAAAAGCGUCGGUAAGGUGAUAUGAACCGUUAUAGCCGGCGAUGUCCGAAUGGGGAAACCCAGUGCAAUUCGUUGCACUAUCGUUAACUGAAUACAUAGGUUAACGAGGCGAACCGGGGGAACUGAAACAUCUAAGUACCCCGAGGAAAAGAAAUCAACCGAGAUUCCCCCAGUAGCGGCGAGCGAACGGGGAGCAGCCCAGAGUCUGAAUCAGCUUGUGUGUUAGUGGAACGGUCUGGAAAGUCCGACGGUACAGGGUGAUAGUCCCGUACACCAAAAUGCACAGGCUGUGAACUCGAAGAGUAGGGCGGGACACGUGGUAUCCUGUCUGAAUAUGGGGGGACCAUCCUCCAAGGCUAAAUACUCCUGACUGACCGAUAGUGAACCAGUACCGUGAGGGAAAGGCGAAAAGAACCCCGGCGAGGGGAGUGAAAAAGAACCUGAAACCGUGUACGUACAAGCAGUGGGAGCACCUUCGGGUGUGACUGCGUACCUUUUGUAUAAUGGGUCAGCGACUUAUAUUCUGUAGCAAGGUUAACCGUAUAGGGGAGCCGCAGGGAAACCGAGUCUUAACUGGGCGUUAAGUUGCAGGGUAUAGACCCGAAACCCGGUGAUCUAGCCAUGGGCAGGUUGAAGGUUGGGUAACACUAACUGGAGGACCGAACCGACUAAUGUUGAAAAAUUAGCGGAUGACUUGUGGCUGGGGGUGAAAGGCCAAUCAAACCGGGAGAUAGCUGGUUCUCCCCGAAAGCUAUUUAGGUAGCGCCUCGUGAAUUCAUCUUCGGGGGUAGAGCACUGUUUCGGCUAGGGGGUCAUCCCGACUUACCAACCCGAUGCAAACUACGAAUACCGAAGAAUGUUAUCACGGGAGACACACGGCGGGUGCUAACGUCCGUCGUGAAGAGGGAAACAACCCAGACCGCCAGCUAAGGUCCCAAAGUCAUGGUUAAGUGGGAAACGAUGUGGGAAGGCACAGACAGCCAGGAUGUUGGCUUAGAAGCAGCCAUCAUUUAAAGAAAGCGUAAUAGCUCACUGGUCGAGUCGGCCUGCGCGGAAGAUGUAACGGGGCUAAACCAUGCACCGAAGCUGCGGCAGCGACACUAUGUGUUGUUGGGUAGGGGAGCGUUCUGUAAGCCUGCGAAGGUGACCUGUGAGGGUUGCUGGAGGUAUCAGAAGUGCGAAUGCUGACAUAAGUAACGAUAAAGCGGGUGAAAAGCCCGCUCGCCGGAAGACCAAGGGUUCCUGUCCAACGUUAAUCGGGGCAGGGUGAGUCGACCCCUAAGGCGAGGCCGAAAGGCGUAGUCGAUGGGAAACAGGUUAAUAUUCCUGUACUUGGUGUUACUGCGAAGGGGGGACGGAGAAGGCUAUGUUAGCCGGGCGACGGUUGUCCCGGUUUAAGCAUGUAGGCUGGUUGUCCAGGCAAAUCCGGAUAAUCAAGGCUGAGGUGUGAUGACGAGGCACUACGGUGCUGAAGUAACAAAUGCCCUGCUUCCAGGAAAAGCCUCUAAGCAUCAGGUAACAUCAAAUCGUACCCCAAACCGACACAGGUGGUCAGGUAGAGAAUACCAAGGCGCUUGAGAGAACUCGGGUGAAGGAACUAGGCAAAAUGGUGCCGUAACUUCGGGAGAAGGCACGCUGGUGUGUAGGUGAAGUCCCUGCGGAUGGAGCUGAGACCAGUCGAAGAUACCAGCUGGCUGCAACUGUUUAUUAAAAACACAGCACUGUGCAAACACGAAAGUGGACGUAUACGGUGUGACGCCUGCCCGGUGCCGGAAGGUUAAUUGAUGGGGUUAUCCGUAAGGAGAAGCUCUUGAUCGAAGCCCCGGUAAACGGCGGCCGUAACUAUAACGGUCCUAAGGUAGCGAAAUUCCUUGUCGGGUAAGUUCCGACCUGCACGAAUGGCGUAAUGAUGGCCAGGCUGUCUCCACCCGAGACUCAGUGAAAUUGAACUCGCUGUGAAGAUGCAGUGUACCCGCGGCAAGACGGAAAGACCCCGUGAACCUUUACUAUAGCUUGACACUGAACAUUGAGCCUUGAUGUGUAGGAUAGGUGGGAGGCUUUGAAGCGUGGACGCCAGUCUGCGUGGAGCCAACCUUGAAAUACCACCCUUUAAUGUUUGAUGUUCUAACGUUGGCCCCUGACCGGGGUUGCGGACAGUGUCUGGUGGGUAGUUUGACUGGGGCGGUCUCCUCCCAAAGCGUAACGGAGGAGCACGAAGGUUAGCUAAUCCUGGUCGGACAUCAGGAGGUUAGUGCAAUGGCAUAAGCUAGCUUGACUGCGAGCGUGACGGCGCGAGCAGGUGCGAAAGCAGGUCAUAGUGAUCCGGUGGUUCUGAAUGGAAGGGCCAUCGCUCAACGGAUAAAAGGUACUCCGGGGAUAACAGGCUGAUACCGCCCAAGAGUUCAUAUCGACGGCGGUGUUUGGCACCUCGAUGUCGGCUCAUCACAUCCUGGGGCUGAAGUAGGUCCCAAGGGUAUGGCUGUUCGCCAUUUAAAGUGGUACGCGAGCUGGGUUUAGAACGUCGUGAGACAGUUCGGUCCCUAUCUGCCGUGGGCGCUGGAGAAUUGAGGGGGGCUGCUCCUAGUACGAGAGGACCGGAGUGGACGCAUCACUGGUGUUCGGGUUGUCAUGCCAAUGGCACUGCCCGGUAGCUAAAUGCGGAAGAGAUAAGUGCUGAAAGCAUCUAAGCACGAAACUUGCCCCGAGAUGAGUUCUCCCUGAGACUUUAAGUCUCCUGAAGGAACGUUGAAGACGACGACGUUGAUAGGCCGGGUGUGUAAGCGCAGCGAUGCGUUGAGCUAACCGGUACUAAUGAACCGUGAGGCUUAACCUU
This 2900-nucleotide ribosomal RNA is filed under the name Klebsiella pneumoniae. Its description in RNAcentral is "23S ribosomal RNA". It matches the Rfam family "Bacterial large subunit ribosomal RNA". Lineage: Bacteria; Pseudomonadati; Pseudomonadota; Gammaproteobacteria; Enterobacterales; Enterobacteriaceae. The record is from RNAcentral.